RNAcentral lists this ribosomal RNA (407 nucleotides) under uncultured bacterium. RNAcentral's name for it is "partial 16S ribosomal RNA". It matches the Rfam family "Bacterial small subunit ribosomal RNA", at positions 28 to 526 of the family's 1533-position model. The record is from RNAcentral.
GAUUAACGCUGGCGGCGUGCAUAACACAUGCAAGUGAAGUGAAGUGGCGGACGGGUGAGUAACGCGUAGUAACCUGCCUUAGAGAAGGGGAUAGCCUUUGGAAACGAAGAAUAAUACCCUAUACUCUAAGAUGGACUUGCGUAUGAUUAGUUAGUUGGUGGGGUAAAGUCCUACAAAGGCGAAGAUCCUUAACUGGUCUGAGAGGAGGUUCAGUGAAACUGUGACUGAUACACGGUCCAGACUCCUACGGUAGGCAGGAGUGGGAAAUAGUGGACAAUGGGCGAAAGCUUGAUCCAGCCAUGCCGCGUGUGUGAAGAAGGUCUUCGGAUUGUAAAGCACUUUAAGUUGGGAGGCGUUACCAACAGAAUAAGCACCGGCUAACUUCGUGCCAGCAGCCGCGGUAAUUC